CUUGUCCUAAGCCAGCUUUUCAGAAGCUUUGCCUUCACAGGGGAGGACUGAAAAAAUCAUUCAGGCUGGGAAUUUGACUCCAUCCCAGGCCACCCUGUUCACGCAAACCAUCAGACCGCUAAUUUUGUAGGCUAACCCUAUUUGUUGAUGUAACGGGUACCAAACUAGUUAUACAUUUGGCCACUAUAUUCAUCUGGGAAGAAAGUUAUCCACAUUACAAUAUACAAACAUUUGGGACUGACCAACAAGUAGCCUGAGUUUAAGGUAUGCUAUGGCUAUGGGUGCACCCUCAAAAACUCACUAGGAAUACACCAAUCAUACCACAUACAAAUGUACAAGGCUAGACGCACAAAACAAUUAGCCUAAACUUUUUUUAAAGAGAAUGAGAUAUACAGAGUUAGCUCAAAUGUUCAAAUGAUUAUCUUUAUAUUCAAGCAUUAAGCAUAUCAAAAGUAUCAAACAACUUCACACACACACAUUCACUGAACUUGAACAUAAGCUAUAACAAUGUAAGUAAUAUAUGUAUAAUACAAAAGUUGAAAAAGCACUCCUCUACAAAAAAAAACGAGCUCAAUGUUCACUCAUUGGUGUCCAUAAAGCAAGCAGCACAAAACUUAACAUCUAUACACUGAGCCAAUGAAAUUGAACAUUGCUGCAAGUAUAAUACGAAUACGAAUUAACUCACAGCAACCUUUCUUUCGCCCUUGUCAGCCUGUUAAGGAAGAGUCAUAGCAUAGCUGCUUCAGAGUAAGCAGUAAGUAAUUACCACUAGUAAACCAGUAGGUGGUGCAGUAACUCACUGCUCGCUGCCUUCUUGUCAAUGAUGUCAUCUUGGUCAAGUCCCAUAAGAAUCUCCUUCUCUGUUGCCAUCAAAAGGAACCCUUCAAGGUUAUUUUGAGUGAGGGGGAUUCUUAGGUGGUUCUUCACGAAUUUCAGGGUGGAAAAGGUCCUCUCACAAGCCACCUGAGUGAUGGAUAGGGUGAGGAGGAACUUGUAGCCCAAACCGAUGAUGUGAUAAGCAUUUGUGAGCGAUUGUACUGAGACAGGAGAAGAUAGCAGCAUAUCGGGCAGUUUUUACACGCGGAACAACUUCCGCUCACCAACUCCACACUUUCAUCAAGGAUCCUCAAAGCCUUCCCCUGAUUCAUCACUGGCAGCGGCGGCCCUGCUGUUGUGCUCCUCCAAUGCUGACUAUCAGUCUUUCCCACUGUUGUGCAAGGCUGAUCAGUUCAGCCUGCAAUGCCUCAACAGUGGCAUGUUCAUCACAUUCCAGUAAGCAUUUGCUGAGCUCCUUCAUGGCUGUCUUUGGAAGGCCCUUUUCUCUGAUCUCAGGAAAAUGCUUUGAAUUCAUGCAGCAGACAUCUGCACACAGCACUGCAUUUGCUGCAUAACGGCGGUGAGUACUUUCAACAACAGUGUCCAGUACCACAUUGUGAAUCUUGAUUUUGUAAUCCAUGUCUGCGUUAGCAAUGGGCUCGUCUUCUGCCAACUCACCUGCUUCUCUUCUUUUUUUUGUUCUCUUCUCUGGGAGAGCAGUCUGAGCUUCGGCAUCACAGUCCUGCUGCUCCUCGAGAAUGCCAUUGGCCGACUCAACGAAGUCGUCUACACCCUCAGUCUUGGGCACACUUUCUCAGUUUAUCCUCCGUUCCCGUCACCAAGUGCUGUGCUGUUACGAUAUCCAUGCCACUUGUUUGCAAGUAUUUACAGAGGGGGGACGUCUGCUCAAAAAUCCUGAGAAAAUCCUUAGCUAACUUCCCACCACCAAAGGACCAAGCAGCGUGGUAAAGAGGACUCCUGGACAUGAGAGGAGAUCCUGGACGGUAAGGGACCCUGGAGGCAGGCUGGGGAGUAUCGCCGUCCAAAGGAGGAGAUAACGGCAGUGAAGGAGGAGCGGCGGCGAUAUGAGGAGGCACGUCAGCGAAGCAGGCACGAGAGGCAGCCCCUCAAGGUAAGCACGGGGGGCACACAGGGAGUUUGGCUGAGUCAGGUUGGAGACCUGAGCCAACUCCCCGUGCUUACCGUGGCGAGCAUCGUACUGGUCAGGCACCGUGUUAUGCGAUGGAGCGCACGGUGUCUCCAGUGUGUGUUCACUGCCCAGUGCGCUACAUCCCAGCUCCCCGCAUCUGCCGGGCUAGGGUGAGCAUCCAGCCAGGAUGGAUGGUGCCGGCUCAGCGCGCCUGGUCUCCAGUGAUGAUCCAUGGCACGAAGCCUCCAGUGAUGAUCCAUGGCACGAAGCCUCCAGUGAUGAUCCAUGGCACGAAGCCUCCAGUGAUGAUCCAUGGCACGAAGCCUCCAGUGAUGAUUCAUGGCAAGAAGCCUCCAGUGAUGAUCCAUGGCACGAAGCCUCCAGUGAGGAGUCAUGGCACAAAGCCUCCAACGACGGCC
This is a long non-coding RNA of Oncorhynchus tshawytscha (Chinook salmon), 2385 nucleotides long. Lineage: Eukaryota; Metazoa; Chordata; Actinopteri; Salmoniformes; Salmonidae. The record is from Ensembl.